AAAAAAAGUUAAAAACUUUCAACAACGGAUCUCUUGGCUCUAGCAUCGAUGAAGAACGCAGCGAAAUGCGAUAAGUAAUGUGAAUUGCAGAAUUCAGUGAAUCAUCGAAUCUUUGAACGCACAUUGCGCCUGGCAGUAUUCUGCCAGGCAUGCCUGUC
This 158-nucleotide ribosomal RNA is filed under the name Ceratocystis fimbriata. RNAcentral describes it as "5.8S ribosomal RNA". It matches the Rfam family "5.8S ribosomal RNA". From Rfam's summary of the family: 5.8S ribosomal RNA (5.8S rRNA) is a component of the large subunit of the eukaryotic ribosome. It is transcribed by RNA polymerase I as part of the 45S precursor that also contains 18S and 28S rRNA. The record is from RNAcentral. Lineage: Eukaryota; Fungi; Ascomycota; Sordariomycetes; Microascales; Ceratocystidaceae.